UCAUCACACUUGUAGCAAAAAAACGCCGGACCUCCUUUAUUAUGUCUGUUCCCACAAUAUCCCAGCAUUAUUGGUAGAACCUUGCUGUGAAGCCAUUAGGGCCUGGCCUUUUAUCUGCUCCAAUCGAACAUACCGCUGCAUAAUUUCCUCCUCCGAAAAUUCUCUUGUUAAGCCUUCAUUAAUAUCAUCAGUGACAGUCGAUUGAAACCCGUGAAAGAUGCCUUCAGAGACUGAAUUUUCAUUGCUAGAAUAUAUUUUCUUGAAAAAGCUUUCAGCAUGUGUACCAAUCUCUUUAUCACCUCUGAAUACCCGACCAAACUCAUCUUGUAUGGAAUGGAUUAUGUUCCUUGCAUAACGUGCUUUUGCACAGGCAUGGUAAAAUUUGGUGUUGCGAUCUCUAACCUGAAGCCAUGUAUUUCUGCUUUUUAACUUCCAAUAAGUUUCCUCUUCCCUGUAUGCAGAAGCUAAUUCUCUCUGAAUAUGCGGAAUAACAGAACGAGCAGAACCUGAACUUUUAAGAGCCGACUCCAGCUCUUUUUGGAGAGAUUCAAUCUUCU
This 557-nucleotide long non-coding RNA is filed under the name Eutrema salsugineum. RNAcentral's name for it is "long non-coding RNA (ESAL_LNC001842)". Lineage: Eukaryota; Viridiplantae; Streptophyta; Magnoliopsida; Brassicales; Brassicaceae. The record is from RNAcentral.